Molecule: non-coding RNA, 444 nt
Organism: Hydra vulgaris (swiftwater hydra)
Lineage: Eukaryota; Metazoa; Cnidaria; Hydrozoa; Anthoathecata; Hydridae
Source: RefSeq, a predicted model, not a curated record
UGCAUAGUGCGCCAGUGAUACUACACAAGAUAUUCGCAUAGAACACCAACUUACAUAUUGCAACUUACGGGUGGGCUUACACCGCACCGCGAUUUUUACAAAGAAAACAAACACAUAUAGUAAAUUAGAGUUCAAUACUUAGAAAAUGAUUCGUUAUCAAAAGCCUAGGCGAAUUGAGCUAAAAAAAACUGAUCUUGAUGAUGCAGAAGAGAUUAGAAAAGAGAUUAUUUUGCUGUCAAAAAAAGAGGAAGAGAGUUUUUUGCGACCAACUACAACAGAUACUUUAGAAUCUAACCAAAAAGUAAAACGUGCAGAAAUACGAAGACGACUUGGUUUUACACCUGAAAUGCUGCCCAGUGAUGGUAACUCAGAAAUGCACUUCUAAUUUAAAAGUUUCUCUUUUUUUGAAUUGACAUUACAAAUGAAGCUUUUUAAAGUUUUAAA